ACGGGUGAGUAAUGUCUGGGAAACUGCCUGAUGAGGGGGGAUAACUACUGGAAACGGUAGCUAAUACCGCAUAACGUCGCAAGACCAAAGAGGGGGACCUUCGGGCCUCUUGCCAUCGGAUGUGCCCAGAUGGGAUUAGCUAGUAGGUGGGGUAACGACUCACCUAGGCGACGAUCCCUAGCUGGUCUGAGAGGAUGACCAGCCACACUGGAACUGAGACACGGUCCAG
RNAcentral lists this ribosomal RNA (229 nucleotides) under uncultured bacterium. Its description in RNAcentral is "partial 16S ribosomal RNA". It matches the Rfam family "Bacterial small subunit ribosomal RNA", at positions 102 to 334 of the family's 1533-position model. The record is from RNAcentral.